This 884-nucleotide ribosomal RNA is filed under the name uncultured bacterium. RNAcentral describes it as "bacterial SSU rRNA". It matches the Rfam family "Bacterial small subunit ribosomal RNA", at positions 17 to 891 of the family's 1533-position model. The record is from RNAcentral.
UCCUGGCUCAGGAUGAACGCUAGCUACAGGCUUAACACAUGCAAGUCGAGGGGAAGCGAUAUUGGAAGCUUGCUUCCGAUAGGCGUCGACCGGCGCACGGGUGAGUAACGCGUAUCCAACCUGCCCAUCACUUGGGAAUAACCUUGCGAAAGUAAGACUAAUACCCAAUGAUAUUUAUAGAAGGCAUCCGAAAUGAAUUAAAGAUUUAUCGGUGAUGGAUGGGGAUGCGUCUGAUUAGCUUGUUGGCGGGGUAACGGCCCACCAAGGCGACGAUCAGUAGGGGUUCUGAGAGGAAGGUCCCCCACAUUGGAACUGAGACACGGUCCAAACUCCUACGGGAGGCAGCAGUGAGGAAUAUUGGUCAAUGGGCGAGAGCCUGAACCAGCCAAGUAGCGUGCAGGAUGACGGCCCUAUGGGUUGUAAACUGCUUUUAUAAGGGAAUAAAGUGAGUCUCGUGAGACUUUUUGCAUGUACCUUAUGAAUAAGGACCGGCUAAUUCCGUGCCAGCAGCCGCGGUAAUACGGAAGGUCCGGGCGUUAUCCGGAUUUAUUGGGUUUAAAGGGAGCGUAGGCCGGAGAUUAAGCGUGUUGUGAAAUGUAGACGCUCAACGUCUGCACUGCAGCGCGAACUGGUUUCCUUGAGUACGCACAAAGUGGGCGGAAUUCGUGGUGUAGCGGUGAAAUGCUUAGAUAUCACGAAGAACUCCGAUUGCGAAGGCAGCUCACUGGAGCGCAACUGACGCUGAAGCUCGAAAGUGCGGGUAUCGAACAGGAUUAGAUACCCUGGUAGUCCGCACGGUAAACGAUGGAUGCCCGCUGUUGGUCUGAAUAGGUCAGCGGCCAAGCGAAAGCAUUAAGCAUCCCACCUGGGGAGUACGCCGGCAA